Molecule: ribosomal RNA, 305 nt
Filed under: uncultured bacterium
Lineage: Bacteria
Description: bacterial SSU rRNA
Rfam family: Bacterial small subunit ribosomal RNA
Source: RNAcentral
GCCUACGGGACGCAGCAGUGAGGAAUAUUGGUCAAUGGCCGGAAGGCUGAACCAGCCAAGUCGCGUGAGGGACGACUGCCCUAUGGGUUGUAAACCUCUUUUAUAAGGGAAGAAUAAAUGCUACGUGUAGCAUGAUGCCUGUACCUUAUGAAUAAGCAUCGGCUAACUCCGUGCCAGCAGCCGCGGUAAUACGGAGGAUGCGAGCGUUAUCCGGAUUUAUUGGGUUUAAAGGGUGCGCAGGCGGAUUUUUAAGUCAGCGGUCAAAUCGUGGGGCUCAACCCCAUCCAGCCGUUGAAACUGGGGAU